This 1040-nucleotide ribosomal RNA is filed under the name uncultured bacterium. RNAcentral's name for it is "bacterial SSU rRNA". It matches the Rfam family "Bacterial small subunit ribosomal RNA", at positions 8 to 1064 of the family's 1533-position model. The record is from RNAcentral.
AGAGUUUGAUCCUGGCUCAGGACGAACGCUGGCGGUGCGCUUAAUGCAUGCAAGUCGAACGGGCAAAGGGGCUUCGGCCUCGGCGCUAGUGGCAGACGGCUGAGUAACACGUAAGUGAUCUGCCCCGGAGAGGGGGAUAACCCGGAGAAAUCCGGCCUAAUACCCCAUACGUUCAGGUGGCUACGGCCAUGUGAAGAAAGGUUUACGUCGCUCUGGGAGGAGCUUGCGGCCUAUCAGGUAGUUGGUGGGGUAAGGGCCUACCAAGCCGAAGACGGGUAACCGAUGUGAGAGCAUGAUCGGUCAGAGGGGGACUGAGACACGGCCCCCACUCCUACGGGAGGCAGCAGCAGGGAAUCUUGCGCAAUGGGCGAAAGCCUGACGCAGCGACACCGCGUGGGGGAAGAAGGCUUUAGGGUUGUAAACCCCUUUUCUGUGGGAAGAGAUAGGACGGUACCACAGGAAUAAGCAUCGGCUAACUACGUGCCAGCAGCCGCGGUAAUACGUAGGAUGCAAGCGUUGUCCGGAUUUACUGGGCGUAAAGGGUGUGUAGGCGGCAUGUUAAGUCUCAUGUGAAAUCUCCCGGCUCAACUGGGAGCGGUCAUGGGAAACUGGCAAGCUUGAGGGCAGCAGAGGAAAGCGGAAUUCCGGGAGUAGUGGUGGAAUGCGUAGAUACCCGGAGGAACACCAGAGGCGAAGGCGGCUUUCUGGGCUGUACCUGACGCUGAGACACGAAAGCGUGGGGAGCAAACCGGAUUAGAUACCCGGGUAGUCCACGCCCUAAACGAUGGAUACUAGAUAUAGGGGGUAUCGACCCCUCCUGUGUCGGAGCUAACGCGAUAAGUAUCCCGCCUGGGGAGUACGGCCGCAAGGCUAAAACUCAAAGGAAUUGACGGGUCCCCGCACAAGCGGCGGAGCGUGUGGUUUAAUUCGAUGAUAAGCGAAGAACCUUACCUGGGCUUGACAUGCGUCUGACAGCCCGUGAAAGCGGGUUUUCCUUCGGGACAGAUGCACAGAUGUUGCAUGGCUGUCGUCAGCUCGUG